RNAcentral lists this unclassified non-coding RNA (253 nucleotides) under uncultured fungus. Its description in RNAcentral is "partial contains 5.8S ribosomal RNA, internal transcribed spacer 2, and large subunit ribosomal RNA". The stretch from base 1 to 52 matches the Rfam family "5.8S ribosomal RNA", at positions 103 to 154 of the family's 154-position model. The record is from RNAcentral. Lineage: Eukaryota; Fungi.
AACGCACAUUGCGCCCCUUGGUAUUCCGAGGGGCAUGCCUGUUCGAGCGUCAUUUCACCAAUCAAGCCCCGCUUGGUAUUAGGCGUCUAGGCCGGACCCCCGCGUCCGGCCCGCCCGAAAUGCAUCGGCGAGGCACCGACCCCCGGCGUGUUAGAAUUUCGAAACGUCGGGAGCACCGGUGACCCUCCGCCGUUAAACCUUUACACAUCUCAAGGUUGACCUCGGAUCAGGUAGGAAUACCCGCUGAACUUAA